Cyprinus carpio carpio is the source of this 2175-nucleotide long non-coding RNA. The record is from Ensembl. Lineage: Eukaryota; Metazoa; Chordata; Actinopteri; Cypriniformes; Cyprinidae.
UCAUCUAAAGGUUAUCUGAUUCUAAAGAGCUGUAAUUGCACUGGAAAGCUUAUUAGCUGCUAUAGAGCUCAGAAAAAGGACAGUCUUGUGUUGCUUCAUGUGCCGUUCUGCUCAGGCACAAUGCAAGCCAGUGACACGAGCAGACUUUUAGCUUUAGCUCUUAGCUUCACACGCUUUAGCCUGACUACUGAUAAAGUUAUGGAGUCCGGCAUUAAUGAACAGCUAGUUAGACUUAAAUUAACAGAAGAGAUUCUCAUCGUGGAGUCAGUUAAACUUAAACAGAUGAACUAACUGGAUAAAUAAGUCCGCCUCCACCUCCUCCUUCAUCGACUCUUACAGCUGAUGACUUUGCAGUUUUCUUCACAAAUAAGACAAGAACCAUCAGUGACCAAUUCACCACACCGCAGACUGAUGAUACACACUCUCUCUCCUCCUUCUCACCACUCUCAGAGACGGACGUUUCCAAACUUCUGUCCAGUCAUCCUACUACUUGUCCACUUGAUCCUAUCCCCACUCACCUCCUUCAGGCCAUUUCUUCUUCAGUCAUACCUUCACUUACUCACAUUAUCAACACCUCUCUUCACUCUGGUACAGUUCCCUCAGCAUAUAAGCAGGCUCAGGUAAGCCCACUGCUUAAGAGACCAUCUCUAAAUCCAGCACUUCUAGAAAACUACACACCGGUAUCCCUUCUUCCAUUCAUUGCAAAGACAUUUGAGCGAGUUGUGUUCAACCAGCUCUCUAUGUUUCUUGUACAGAACAACCUCCUGGACACUCAACUGAGACUGCCCUGCUCUCGGUUACUGAAGCCCUGCGACUGGCAAGAGCAGCUUCCAAAUCCUCAAUACUCAUCUUGCUGGACCUGUCUGCUGCUUUUGACACUGUUAAUUACCAGAUUCUCCUGUCCACCCUCAGAAAGAUGAAAAAUCUCAGGAACCGCACUCCAGUGGUUUAAGUCCUACCUCUCAGAUAGAUCCUUCAGGGUGUCUUGGAGGGGUGAAGUUUCUAAGUCACAACAACUUGCUACUGGGGUUCCUCAAGGCUCAGUACUUGGACCACUUCUCUUCUCCAUCUACAUGACGUCAUUAGGAUCUGUCAUUCAGAAGCAUGGCUUUUCUUAUCACUGCUACGCUGAUGACACUCAACUCUACUUCUCAUUCCACCCAGAUGAUCCGACGGUAGUUGCUCGCAUUACAGCCUGCCUGUCUGAGUAACAUUUCUAGCUGGAUGAAUGACCAUCACCUUCAGCUCAACCUUACUAAGACUGAACUGCUGGUGGUUCCAGCUAACCCAUCGUUAAAUCACAACUACUCGAUACAGCUGGGUUCAUCAACCAUAACUCCUUCCAGGACAGCCAGAAACCUAGGAGUUGUGAUGGAUCAUCAGUUAAGCUUCACAGACCAUAUUGCUACAACGACCGGUCCUGCAGAUUUGCCUUAUACAACAUUAGGAAGAUUAGACUCUUCCUGUCAGAGCAAGCCACACAACUUCUUGUCCAGGCUCUUGUUCUCUCCAGACUGGACUAUUGUAAUGCUCUCCUGGCGGGCCUUCCUGCAUGUACUAUCAAGCCUCUACAACUGAUCCAGAAUGCAGCAGCGAGGGUUGUCUUCAAUGAGCCAAAAACAGCUCAUGUUACUCCUCUCCUCAUCAGGUUACACUGGCUACCAGUAGCCGCUCGCAUCAAAUUCAAGGUACUGAUGCUUGCCUACAAGACGACCACUGGCACAGCACCAACAUACCUAAGCUCAUUAGUUCAAUCUUAUGAGCCCUCCAGAAGUUUGCGCUCUGCAAGUGAAUGGUGCCUUGUGGUGCCAUCCCAAAGAGGUUCAAAAUCACUCUCACAGACCUUUUCCUGGACUGUGCCCAGCUGGUGGAAUGACCUCCCGAUCUCAAUUCACAGAUACCAUUUAAACUGAACUGAGCUGCAUGAUGACAUCACUGAAUUCAAUGAUGAACUGCCUUUAACUGUCAUUUUGUAUUAUUGACACACUGUUUUCCUAAUUAAUGUUGUUCAGUUGCUUUGACGCAAUCUUUUUUGUUUAAAGCGCUAUAUAAAUAAAGAUGACUCAAUUCGAACAGCUGAGUCUUUACUCAUCUUCAAAAAACAUCUAAAGACACAUCUGUUUAGCCAGCUCUUGACCAACUAAUACUAGCACUUACCUUUUCUUUUCUUGUCUA